RNAcentral lists this ribosomal RNA (1380 nucleotides) under uncultured bacterium. Its description in RNAcentral is "bacterial SSU rRNA". It matches the Rfam family "Bacterial small subunit ribosomal RNA". The record is from RNAcentral.
UAUCGCCCUUAGAGUUGAUCCUGGCUCACGACGAACGCUGGCGGCGCGCCUAACACAUGCAAGUCGAACGAGCGAGAGAGAGCUUGCUUUCUCAAGCGAGUGGCGAACGGGCGAGUAACGCGUGAGGAACCUGCCUCAAAGAGGGGGACAACAGUUGGAAACGACUGCUAAUACCGCAUAAGCCCACAGCUCGGCAUCGAGCAGAGGGAAAAGGAGCAAUCCGCUUUGAGAUGGCCUCGCGUCCGAUUAGCUGGUUGGUGAGGUAAUGGCCCACCAAGGCGACGAUCGGUAGCCGGACUGAGAGGUUGAACGGCCACAUUGGGACUGAGACACGGCCCAGACUCCUACGGGAGGCAGCAGUGGGGAAUAUUGCACAAUGGGGGAAACCCUGAUGCAGCGACGCCGCGUGGAGGAAGAAGGUCUUCGGAUUGUAAACUCCUGUUGUUGAGGAAGAUAAUGACGGUACUCAACAAGGAAGUGACGGCUAACUACGUGCCAGCAGCCGCGGUAAAACGUAGGUCACAAGCGUUGUCCGGAAUUACUGGGUGUAAAGGGAGCGCAGGCGGGAAGACAAGUUGGAAGUGAAAUCUAUGGGCUCAACCCAUAAACUGCUUUCAAAACUGUUUUUCUUGAGUAGUGCAGAGGUAGGCGGAAUUCCCGGUGUAGCGGUGGAAUGCGUAGAUAUCGGGAGGAACACCAGUGGCGAAGGCGGCCUACUGGGCACCAACUGACGCUGAGGCUCGAAAGUGUGGGUAGCAAACAGGAUUAGAUACCCUGGUAGUCCACACCGUAAACGAUGAUUACUAGGUGUUGGAGGAUUGACCCCUUCAGUGCCGCAGUUAACACAAUAAGUAAUCCACCUGGGGAGUACGACCGCAAGGUUGAAACUCAAAGGAAUUGACGGGGGCCCGCACAAGCAGUGGAGUAUGUGGUUUAAUUCGACGCAACGCGAAGAACCUUACCAAGUCUUGACAUCCCUUGACGAUGCUGGAAACAGUGUUUCUCUUCGGAGCAAGGAGACAGGUGGUGCAUGGUUGUCGUCAGCUCGUGUCGUGAGAUGUUGGGUUAAGUCCCGCAACGAGCGCAACCCUUACUGUCAGUUACUACGCAAGAGGACUCUGGCAGGACUGCCGUUGACAAAACGGAGGAAGGUGGGGAUGACGUCAAAUCAUCAUGCCCUUUAUGACUUGGGCUACACACGUACUACAAUGGCGUUAAACAAAGAGAAGCAAGACCGCGAGGUGGAGCAAAACUCAGAAACAACGUCCCAGUUCGGACUGCAGGCUGCAACUCGCCUGCACGAAGUCGGAAUUGCUAGUAAUCGUGGAUCAGCAUGCCACGGUGAAUACGUUCCNCGGGCCCUUGUACACACCGCCCGUC